GAUGAAGAACGCAGCGAAAUGCGAUAAGUAGUGUGAAUUGCAGAAUUCCGUGAAUCAUCGAAUCUUUGAACGCACAUUGCGCCUUCUGGUAUUCCGGAAGGCAUGCCUGUUCGAGAGUCAUUAACAACCGUUUCGAUCCCUUUCUUUCAGAAAUUACAAAGAGGAAAAGGGUUUGGUUAUGGUGGAGGAGGGAAAGGGAGCGUUUAGCCUGUAAAAAAAGAGGCUGUGUUCCGCCUCCCCCCCAAAAUUGUACAGGCGGUCGUGUGCGCCCACGCAUCGAGGUGUUGUAAAAGCUGCCACGGCACUUUUCACCUGUGCAGUGCGAGAUUGGCCAGCCGGUUUAAAAACCCCUCCAAACAAUCAAAGGUUGACCUCGGAUCAGGUAGGGAUACCCGCUGAACUUAAGCAUAACAAUAAGCGGAGGA
RNAcentral lists this unclassified non-coding RNA (425 nucleotides) under soil metagenome. RNAcentral's name for it is "partial contains 5.8S ribosomal RNA, internal transcribed spacer 2, and large subunit ribosomal RNA". The stretch from base 1 to 120 matches the Rfam family "5.8S ribosomal RNA", at positions 35 to 154 of the family's 154-position model. The record is from RNAcentral.